Long non-coding RNA from Mauremys reevesii (Reeves's turtle), 1368 nucleotides. RefSeq lists it as uncharacterized. The transcript is spliced from 3 exons. The record is from RefSeq and is a predicted model, not a curated record. NCBI's taxonomy places the organism in Eukaryota, Metazoa, Chordata, Testudines, Geoemydidae.
UUGCUUGCACAGUCAGCUCAGGGAGAUGACUGUCAGCUGGCAGUAAUCAAGGGCAGCUGAGCCUCCUUAGGCUUAGAACCUUGAAGAGUAGCUCAGCUCAGUGAAGGGAGACUCUGCUAGCUGGAGAGCAGGCCAGGGUGCUCUAGCGAUGAAUAUUGUUGAUGGUGCUGUGUGGAUUCCCGCUGCAGGAAGGAGAUGUGGCUAAAGGUAGCAUCGUGGUUUGGUUUCUUUGGCUAUGCAAGAGCCCUGACACCUUAGAAAGAAUCAUUCAACCUAGGACCUCCUGGGAAACUUCUCUCCAGCUAUAUUGUCCAGGACUGCUGUGUGUGGGAUUUUUCAUGGGAUGCUCACCAGAGACUAGUAGACAGGAUUCCAUUUCAAUGUGCCUUCUACCCGAGCACCCCUCUAAACAUGCAGUGACCCUCCUCCCGUUGGCAGCAGGUGCAUUCAGUUCAGAAUAAUAUUACUUGGUCAGCCUCUGCAAUUCCUCCCUGCAAACCUCAUUUGAGGAAGAUAGUAAGGUUGCAUUCUCACUUAUCACAAUGUCACCUUCACCUCGUGCCCUGGAAAGCAGUGCUGACUCGGGGUUAUAACUGGAGACCAGACGUCAGGAAUCCUGGAUUCUCUUCCCAAGACCACUGUGGACCACUUUAAGUCACUCACUUAACCUCUCUAUCUUUCCAGAAGGCUUGGAUACCUUUGAAUAAGAGGUGUGAUGUAAAGGAAGCCUGAUUCUCAGCUAUGCUGGGAACAUACAGCUCCCACUGUCUUCAUCUGCAGAUCUGAGUGCUCAGCAUCACUGAAAGUCAGGUCCUGGAUAUUUUAUUAACAACUCAUUUCAUAUAAACCUCCCAAAAAAGCCAUCAGACAAUGACUUUUGGUCACCCCUGACCCGGGAUGACAUUGUAGGGUUCAAAACCAUUAUUAAAUUCCACACACGCUGAGAAGGAAACAAUAAAUCUUCCACCACCCAACAGAAAUCUCCAAUUGAAGCAUUUGCGGUAUGUUUGUACAAUCCAGGCCAAGUAGGGCUACCACCAUACCAGGAUUUCUUACACUUUUUCCGGGUUCUAUAUCUUAGUGAACGCUGCACCUCCUUCACCCACUGCCAUAGACUUCUUCCAACCAGCAAUCGCAGCCAAGAAUGAAAUAUAAUGAAAAAGGGAAUUUCAUUUAUUAAAUUGCUCUCUCAUUUUUAUUUUUUUUUAGCCACAGCAGUUACUCUCGGUAGCUUCAUUCCCAGAGCUCCCCCCCUGUGGGAAUAGAAUGUGAGAUGCUGAGAUUGUUUAGGCUUUUGGGAUGAGCUGACUGUGUUGGGAAUUGUGUGUGAAGGGCUGGCCUUGGGCUUGUUCUCAUCGGCCAGCUAAU